ACUAGCUAAUGGGCCAAGCCCACACUAACAUCUUUAUUCCCCCUCAAACUCACAAUGCAAUUGUAAUAAACAUUGACAGUUUGUCACACAAGAACCGAAAUUGAGACACCGACUAAGCCUUGGUAAAAAUUAAAAACAUUUGUAAUCUGCAAAGUUGAUGGAACAAAGGGAAACGAGAUGGUUCCAAGCUAAAGAUGAUGAUGAGUAAAGUGAUAAUCAAUCUUAAUAUGUUUUGUCUGCUCAUGAAAAACAUAGUUCUUUGCGAUCUGCAUGGCAUUUUGGUUAUCACGAUGCAAUGAGGUAGGCUGAGAGAUAGUGACCCCCAUAUCACUAAGGAGCGAUCAUAACCAAACAAUCUCGCAUAUAGCCAUAGUCGUAGCAUGAUACUCAGCCUCAGUAGAAGAUCCGGAAACAACAUCUUGCUUCUUACUUUUCCAUGAAAUUAAAGAAUCACCAAGGAAAUUGUGACAACCGGCAAAAAUAAGGGUAAUUAUGUACAACUUAAUUAUACAUUUAACUGCGUUCGUUACGACUUAAUUAAUGUGUGAUUAGGUCAUGUAAAGUCUAGCAAUCAUAGGACAUGGUUAAAUAUGUCAAACAAUAUUAAUACAAUCGCCGCGUCGCGAGAAAACUACAAACUAUGUCCAAAUAUGUUGGCAAAAUGCUGAAAACACUAUUCACCAGAACACACUAUUCAUGCCAACUAGUUCCGAAAACUGUCCGAACAAGCGAUGAAUGGCAUGAAAGCAUUUUAUAGUUGAAAUGCAAAUAAAAAUCCCUAAUUAGGGACACCAACUACUAAAAUGCUUAAACUUUCUGAAAAAUGCACCUAAACAUAAAGUGUCCGAUCCGCGCCAAACUGUAACGAAAAUAAAUUGUCCGCAACAUUGAAAUACAUCAUUCUAAUAUCAGUAGCACUCGUAAAUUAAUAUUUUACACCUUAAGUAAGCUUUGGGAUAUCCGAAACACAAGCUACCGGCACAACGUCGCUAUUUGCACAACUUGUCCUUUUUUUAUCCGACGGACUAGUAAACAAUAUUUUUAUCACCCUAACGCCUAAACGAAGCAUCUAGCGAACUAGUUAAUGACAGUUUGGCGUCGUAGACGCCUUGAAUAGACGUCAUAACCUUCGACGGUAAAUUAAAACCAUCGCUCCCGGUAUUAAACUACAAUUUUCGUUUAUCACCCGAUAUCGAAUCGGCGAGCGAACUAGUGGUAUUUUUACCAUCUAAAAUUUAUACCCACUAAACUAGUAAACUAAUUAGGUUUUAUUUAUAAUCCUAAACUAUAUUUAAUACCCUAAUUAACCUAAUUAUCUCUAAUGGCUAAAACAUCUACCAUAAUUAACCAAUUUUCAUCACAUGUUGGUUAUGUUAAAAAAAUAAUAAUAAAAUCUUACACCCCCAUACCCAAAUCGGCCAACUCCAUCCCCCAUGUGAUCCUACAACCUACAUGUAGUAUUGAUGUAAGAGUAUGGUCUUGAUUUAUUUUAUUUGACUAAAGGAAGUUUACAUAUCAUAAUUUACCAAAAUUCCUCAUUAUAUAUUAUAUAAUACUCUAAUUUUCAACAUUUGUGAGCAAUAGGAGUUGUACCAUGUGCUUCGUUUCUUUAUGUGUAUAUGGUUGUUGUAUGUGUUGCAUUAGGGAGUUGUAAGGUGGUAUUUUCUGAAACCAUUUGCUUUGCUGGUAUUCUGUUGUGAGUUUAAGAACCAGGUCGUGGCUUACAUUGUACCAUUCCUCAUAAUAAUACUUCCAUCACUGGUUUUACCCCAAAGAGAUGCACAUUUGAAGAGAGACUCAGAGGAAGGUAUAGAGACAUUGAGAGAGAGAGAGAGAGAGAGAAAGCGGUGUAUAGAGAGACCGAUGAAAGGAAUCCGACCACCCCAAUCGAUGAAGGGGAUGAUGGCGACGUCUUAAGGCUGAGUUCUCCGCCGACUUCAGCAAACACAUUUUUUGGCAGAGAGCAUACCAGAUUGGAUAUUGUGUGCCACUGAUUUGUACUCGAACCCUAAUUUCAUAAGGUAAUCUUUUCCCCAUUUCCUCUCCUCUCAUGGUACCAUCUUUGUUUUCAUCUCUCUUUCUAUCUCUAAAAUAUCGAAACCUCAUAUGAAAUCUGAAGUAAGAUAACGUGGAUAUGGCUGUUACAUAGGGUUUAGACUGGGAUUUCUCUCAGGUUUUUGACUAAAUUGUUGCUGGUGAAGAGGUUUAGGAAGUCUUGCGCACAGGUUAGAAGUUUAUCUGAGCAAAGAAAAUUUAAAGGAGGUGCAUUUUAGUAAUAGGUUUUAUAAAAUAAAAUACAUGUAAUCUUACUUAGAAAUGUAUUUAUUCAUUGCACCAAACAUGAACUUAUGUUGACCGUUUCUGUUUGACAAAUUUGAAGUUCAAAAGAUUUUGAACAAAAAACAAUCAACCUGCUUUGUUUAUUCUUGGCCAUUACUGUUAAUUGAGGCGAGUAUUGUUUUUAUUUUAA
This is a long non-coding RNA of Helianthus annuus (common sunflower), 2470 nucleotides long. RefSeq lists it as uncharacterized. Lineage: Eukaryota; Viridiplantae; Streptophyta; Magnoliopsida; Asterales; Asteraceae. The record is from RefSeq and is a predicted model, not a curated record. The transcript is spliced from 2 exons.